Small nuclear RNA from Marmota monax (woodchuck), 104 nucleotides. The record is from RefSeq and is a predicted model, not a curated record. NCBI's taxonomy places the organism in Eukaryota, Metazoa, Chordata, Mammalia, Rodentia, Sciuridae.
GUGCUCACUUUGGCAGCAUAUAUACUAACAUAGGAACAAUACAAAGAUUAGCAUGGGCCCUGCACAAGAAUAAUAUGUGAAUUAGUGAAGCAUUUCAUAUUUUU